GGUAGUGUGGCCGAGAGGUCCAAGGUGCUGGAUUUUAAGUACCAGUCUUUUUGGGGGGUGUGGGUUCAAAUCCCACUAUUGCCA
Molecule: non-coding RNA, 84 nt
Organism: Albula goreensis
Lineage: Eukaryota; Metazoa; Chordata; Actinopteri; Albuliformes; Albulidae
Source: the annotation of a GenBank genome assembly